GAGGCAGCCCUGGGGAAUGAGGUUGUUUGUUUACCCACAGAACACGCACAGCCUGGGCAGCAGCAGCAGCGCAGUCCUCCCCACGCUGCUGCACUGCUGCUCUCCAGCCUUGCUCCCAAGUGACAAUCUCCAGAGGUGACAAGGAGGUUUGCGAUCCCUAUUCGCCCCAAAUCCUGCUGCU
This 181-nucleotide small RNA is filed under the name Nothoprocta perdicaria. Its description in RNAcentral is "TUC338 (ENSNPEG00000006054.1)". The record is from RNAcentral. Lineage: Eukaryota; Metazoa; Chordata; Aves; Tinamiformes; Tinamidae.